CCCGGGGGCAGCAGUGAGGAAUAUUGGUCAAUGGGCGGAAGCCUGAACCAGCCAAGUCGCGUGAGGGAAUAAGGCCCUACGGGUCGUAAACCCCUUUUGCCGGGGAGCAAGGGCCGGGACGCGUCCCGGCCCGGAGAGUACCCGGAGAAAAAGCAUCGGCUAACUCCGUGCCAGCAGCCGCGGUAAUACGGAGGAUGCGAGCGUUAUCCGGAUUUAUUGGGUUUAAAGGGUGCGUAGGCGGGCUUUUAAGUCAGCGGUAAAAAUUCGGGGCUCAACCCCGUCCGGCCGUUGAAACGGGGGGCCUU
RNAcentral lists this ribosomal RNA (305 nucleotides) under uncultured bacterium. Its description in RNAcentral is "bacterial SSU rRNA". It matches the Rfam family "Bacterial small subunit ribosomal RNA", at positions 337 to 643 of the family's 1533-position model. The record is from RNAcentral.